This 486-nucleotide ribosomal RNA is filed under the name uncultured bacterium. RNAcentral describes it as "partial 16S ribosomal RNA". It matches the Rfam family "Bacterial small subunit ribosomal RNA", at positions 30 to 507 of the family's 1533-position model. The record is from RNAcentral.
AUUGAACGCUGGCGGAAUGCUUUACACAUGCAAGUCGAACGGCAGCACGGGAGCUUGCUCCUGGUGGCGAGUGGCGAACGGGUGAGUAACAUAUCGGAACGUACCCAGUCGUGGAGGAUAACUAUCCGAAAGGAUAGCUAAUACCGCAUACGUCCUGAGGGAGAAAGCGGGGGAUCGCAAGACCUCGCGCGAUUGGAGCGGCCGAUAUCGGAUUAGCUAGUUGGUGGGGUAAAGGCUCACCAAGGCGACGAUCCGUAGCGGGUCUGAGAGGACGACCCGCCACACUGGAACUGAGACACGGUCCAGACUCCUACGGGAGGCAGCAGUGGGGAAUUUUGGACAAUGGGGGCAACCCUGAUCCAGCCAUUCCGCGUGAGUGAAGAAGGCCUUCGGGUUGUAAAGCUCUUUCAGCAGGAACGAAACGGUCGGCUUUAAUAAAAUCGGCUAAUGACGGUACCUGCAGAAGAAGCACCGGCUAACUACGUG